Molecule: ribosomal RNA, 635 nt
Filed under: uncultured bacterium
Lineage: Bacteria
Description: bacterial SSU rRNA
Rfam family: Bacterial small subunit ribosomal RNA
Source: RNAcentral
AUGCCGCGUGUGUGAAGAAGGCCUUCGGGUAGUAAAGCACUUUUGUCAGGAACGAAACGGUGGGGGCUAAUACCUCCUGCUAAUGACGGUACCUGAAGAAUAAGCACCGGCUAACUACGUGCCAGCAGCCGCGGUAAUACGUAGGGUGCGAGCGUUAAUCGGAAUUACUGGGCGUAAAGCGUGCGCAGGCGGUUGUGCAAGACAGAUGUGAAAUCCCCGGGCUUAACCUGGGAAUGGCAUUUGUGACUGCACGGCUAGAGUGUGUCAGAGGGGGGUAGAAUUCCACGUGUAGCAGUGAAAUGCGUAGAUAUGUGGAGGAAUACCGAUGGCGAAGGCAGCCCCCUGGGAUAACACUGACGCUCAGGCACGAAAGCGUGGGGAGCAAACAGGAUUAGAUACCCUGGUAGUCCACGCCCUAAACGAUGUCAACUAGUUGUCGGGUCUUAAUUGACUUGGUAACGCAGCUAACGCGUGAAGUUGACCGCCUGGGGAGUACGGUCGCAAGAUUAAAACUCAAAGGAAUUGACGGGGACCCGCACAAGCGGUGGAUGAUGUGGAUUAAUUCGAUGCAACGCGAAAAACCUUACCUACCCUUGACAUGUCAGGAACCCCGCUGAGAGGUGGGGGUGCUCGCA